This is a long non-coding RNA of Anolis carolinensis (green anole), 3867 nucleotides long. RefSeq lists it as uncharacterized. The record is from RefSeq and is a predicted model, not a curated record. The transcript is spliced from 2 exons. NCBI's taxonomy places the organism in Eukaryota, Metazoa, Chordata, Lepidosauria, Squamata, Anolidae.
UAUAGCCUGGGGGAAAAGACAAGGAGUCGUGAGCAUUGUCUUCUCAAUGACAGUUGCCAGCCUCUUCCUAGAUGAGUAACAGAAUGGAUUAUAAAGCGGCGGCUGAUCCUGCAAGUAACCUGGACCCAAACUGCACGGGGCUUAAAAGGUCAAGAAGAGUACAACUUAGCCAAAAUAUAUAUACCACACUACACAGUAUAAAGAUUAAAAUGAUUAUGGCUCAAAGCUUCUCAUGUUAUCCUCAGCCUAUCGAGUGGAGGUACUUGGCACCUGUUCCCACGUUUGUCAAGACAAUGCAAGAGGCAACCUAGAGAAAGAGGAGUUGACUUCACAUGCAAGUACCUUGUCUGAGUGUUCCACGCCACAGCUGCCCUGAUGACUUGACCGAAGGGAUUUCACUUUUCUUUCUCUCUCUGCCUUUAAAUGAUCUUGAAAAUCCAGCCCAUGUAGAGAGAUAUGGAGAUUCUAAGGCAAAGGGAAAAAAAUCAGACAAAGAAUCUCACUUCUCAUUGAGGUUAGGUAGUUUCAGGAUAUGAACAUCAUGUUAAAAGAUUUAGAUUGUACUAACUUGGUGAUAUGGGUGACAUGCGAGCUGGUUUCUUCUUCAAUUUCUGAAAAAAAGAGACUGUUUUGAAUUUGAAUUUUUCACACACAAUUUAUACAAGAACUUGCAAACAGUAGCUACUUUUCUAAGCAGACAGCAAACGUUCAGUUGUUAUUGUUAUGUAGUGAGUGAUGCUGAGAAUUAACCACAUUGAAAAUCGGUAGAAGCAGGAGACAACUCAAAACUACCAUAAUUUCUGGUCCAACUCACCAGUUUGGUGUCCGACUCAUAGCUAAGCGAAGAAAGACUCUCCUCUGCCUGGGGAAUAAAUAUGUAGAUGUUGUUAUUGUUAUUAUUUCCCACUUGUCUUUUCCCCAAAAAUUGGGACUCAAGUUAUUUUACAAUUAUAAAAAAUACAAUACAAAAGGCAGACAUGGAAACAGAAACAAACUAGUCACAAUAGCAAAACAUUUUUAAAGAUACACUUUAAAAAGACAAAAAAGCCACGACUAUAUAACAUAAUACUUUCAGGGAUUAUUUGCAUAAAACUGCCAGAUCGAUGGUGCAUCAGUAUUCUCACUGCUCUUCCAAAAAACCUCUUAUGUGAGAUUUGUUAAUUUUGGUGAGGGUAACUGUGGCCCUUCAGAUGCUUUAAACUACAACUCUCAUAACUGGCUAUAAAGUACUUAGUACAGCAAAUCAUGGUUAAAGUUCUCUCUUUUCAGAAUUAUGAAUUUCAUAACAUACUGUUGAAAUAUAUCAUUCUUUCCUUGUGUCAUCCAGAAAUAAUUUGAUUUUAAUUUCCUUUAAAAAUAGUAUAGUGUUAGUUAUUUCUUUUAACUGCAAAUAAGUCACCCUUAAAGGAACAGCUCCAGUGGUUCAUUUCCGCUGUCCUUUUCACCCCAGCCCAGUUUUGUGAGAUCUAGAUCUGCCUCUCAGCGAAAAGAACAGAAAGCAGGGUGAAUGUAACUUUUAAAAGCUGGAUCGCAGGAAAGAAAGCUGCAUGGAGUGAUAAGAGAUCAGCCCGGUCUGAUGAUGCCUUGCUCGCAGCCGGGCAUGUGUCACGUCCAGCCCACACAGAAUUUUUAAUUUCCUGAAGUCACAUUCUUCAGAGCAGAUUGGCAGAUUGUUCCUUUUUUAUUCUUCGGGCAUCUGAUCUGAGUCUAUAUCUCCCUAUCCAAUUUGUUUUGCUGUGCUAGUGAUCAGACUGUGAAACAAGCAAACUACAAAGUUUUAAGGGAAGUGAGCAAAUAUUUGCAGCAAACACAUAGACUUCCAACUAUAGCAAAUCUAGAUCUGAAACCAGGGAGAAAAGAGGGAAGUGAUGGCACUUGUGUGAUCCUAAUGUUUCGUGUGGCCUAUGAACCAGAUGGUUUAUUAUUCCCAUAUAUCUCACCAGAGUUCAGCUUGGAUGGAGAUGAUGGGAAUCAGAGCUCAACAACUUCCAAAAGAGCACAAUUUAAGCACAAAACUACACAGCAUACAGAAUAGGUCAAUUUGAACAAAAUUGCGAUUUGGAAAGACCUCAGAGAUGGGGAAGGGAAGGUCGUAACGACAUACAAUCUUCACUUUCAUGUCCUCCUUGAACAGGUUGCCAAUGGAAAUAGAACCAAGGAUUGUGAACUGCAGUGGUUCCAUUUGGCGAUUGUGAGGAAAGCCCAUAAAUGAGGUCACCAGAGCCCAAACAACUACCGUGUUUCCCCGGAAAUAAGACAGUGUCUUAUAUUAAUUUUUGCCCCCAAAGAUGUGCUAGGUCUUAUUUUCAGGGGAUGUUUUCGUUUUCCAUGAAGAAGUAUUCACAUUUAUUGUUGAACAAAAAAAAAUGAACAUUUAUUAUAUAAUGUACAGUAGUUGUCAUCACAAACCAGCAUAACCAGACAAACUGUGAAUCCUAUCAAGAAUUUCUUGUUACUACCAUUAUUUCCAUGUAUAAUACUCUAUGAUACAUACAUUUACCGAUCCUGCAUGCUCUGGUGUUCUGUUUGGCGGGCAUGCUUCCAAACAAAACCUUUGCUAGGUCUUACUUUCAGGGGAGGCCUUAUAUUUAGCAAUUCAGCAAAACCUCUACUAGGUCUUAUUUUCUGGGGAUGUCUUAUUUUAGGGGAAACAGGGUAUUACUAGAACUUAGGAUGGUUAAUUCUAUAAAUUAAUACUGUGUCACAUGAAGAGGUCACGUUUUAAACCUAUCUUGGAUCUAUUGCCCAAUGACGAGAGGGCAUAUUUCUCACGAUCUAUUACACUAUGUAACACGAUUUUUGUUCCUGGGUUAUAAAUGUCAUUUCCUAAUUGGUUCUACUAUCAAAACAUUAUUAUUAAUUUAUUUAUUUACUACAUUUAUAUCCUGCUCUUCUCACCCCGAAAGGGGACUCAGAGCGGCUUACAAAUCAAAUAAACAUACAAUAUAUUAUUAACACAGCACAAUAUAAUAUAAGCAUUAGAUUACUAUAUUGUACUAUAUCAUUAUAUGGUAAUAUUAUUAGUAAUAUUACAUUUAAUAUAUAAUAAUUUAUUAUUAUUACAGUAGAGUCUCACUUAUCCUUUUAUGACUGUUUUAUUGAUGCUGAUGUUUUACUGUUGAGUAAUUUGUUUUAUUGUCUUGCCAUUGUUAUUAUAUUGUUGUUUGGGCAUGGCCCCAUGUAAGCCACCCCGAGUCCCUUUGGGGAGAUGGGGCGGGGUAUAAGAAUAAAGUUGUUGUUGUUAUUAUUAUUAUUAUUAUUAUUAUUAUUAUUAUUAUUAUCCAAGCCUCGCUUAUCCAAGCUUCUGGAAUAUCCAAGCCAUUUUUGUAGUCAAUGUUUUCAAUAUAUUGUGAUAUUUUGGUGCUAAAUUCAUAAAUACAGUAGUUACAACAUAAGAUUACUGCGUAUUGAACUACUUUUUCUGUCAAAUGUGUUGUAUAACAUGAUGUUUUGGUGCUUAAUUUGUAAAAUCAUAACCUAAUUUGAUGUUUAAUAGGCUUUUCCUUAAUCCAUCCUUAUUAUCCAACAUAUUAGCUUAUCCAAUGUUCUGCCAGCCCGUUUAUGUUGGAUAAGUGAGACUCUACUGUAUAUCAUUAUAUGGUAAUAUUAUUAGUAAUAUUACAUUUAAUAUAUAAUAAUAUAUUAUUAUUAUAUCUUUAAUAUUUAUCUCUUUAUAUCUAUUAUAUUAUAUCUUUUUAUGAAUGUUGAUGUAAGUUAAUAAUUUUUAAUCUGAUUUAUAGUGUAUUGUAUAAUUUUUAUAUGUGUGUUUAUUGUAAGCUGCCCUGAGUCCCCUCUCGGGUGAGAAGGGCGGGAUAUAAAUGUUGUAAUAAAUAAAUAAAUAAAUAAUAUUUAAUAUUUAAUAUAUAA